Molecule: ribosomal RNA, 270 nt
Filed under: uncultured bacterium
Lineage: Bacteria
Description: partial 16S ribosomal RNA
Rfam family: Bacterial small subunit ribosomal RNA
Source: RNAcentral
AUUGAACGCUGGCGGCAUGCCUUACACAUGCAAGUCGAACGGUAACAGGUUAAGCUGACGAGUGGCGAACGGGUGAGUAAUGUAUCGGAACGUGCCCAGUCGUGGGGGAUAACUACUCGAAAGAGUGGCUAAUACCGCAUGAGACCUGAGGGUGAAAGCGGGGGACUCGCAAGAGCCUCGCGCGAUUGGAGCGGCCGAUAUCAGAUUAGGUUGUUGGUGAGGUAAAAGCUCACCAAGCCGACGAUCUGUAGCUGGUCUGAGAGGACGACC